This 200-nucleotide long non-coding RNA is filed under the name Mustela putorius furo (domestic ferret). Its description in RNAcentral is "lncRNA (ENSMPUG00000029332.1)". Lineage: Eukaryota; Metazoa; Chordata; Mammalia; Carnivora; Mustelidae. The record is from RNAcentral.
UGUUACCACAGUUCCGGGCACAUUUCUAUCCCAGCCCUGAUCACAGGUCAUUGCAGCCGCCUCCCUUUGUCUUCCUUUCGAGACUGCAAGCUCCGUGAGGCCCAGCACUGAGCCAUUCAACGCGAUGGGGAUCCCCAAUGCCAAGCAAGCACCUAACAGCAGAGUCUGUUUGAGAGAAUUGAGCCUCGGAUGGUACUAAC